AGUAAAGUCAGCUAAAUUAAGCUAUCGGGCCCAUACCCCGAAAACGCCCACAGGCCUUUACUA
Molecule: transfer RNA, 63 nt
Filed under: Trimeresurus albolabris (white-lipped tree viper)
Lineage: Eukaryota; Metazoa; Chordata; Lepidosauria; Squamata; Viperidae
Also listed under: 1 other name
Description: tRNA-Met
Source: RNAcentral